GAAAGCCGUGUGCGGGGAAACUCGCAAGCACGGUUUGGGGAGGGACGGCAGGAAAAGGUCCGCAAGGAACCUCGCUUACCGUCUACUCUAC
Molecule: non-coding RNA, 91 nt
Organism: Ktedonobacter racemifer DSM 44963
Lineage: Bacteria; Bacillati; Chloroflexota; Ktedonobacteria; Ktedonobacterales; Ktedonobacteraceae
Source: Rfam